GACGAACGCUGGCGGCGUGCUUAACACAUGCAAGUCGAACGGAAAGGCCCUGCUUUGGGGGGGUGCUCGGGGGGGGAACGGGGAAGUAAAACGUGAUUAACUUGCCCUUGCCUUUGGGAUAACUUCAGGAAACGGGGGCUAAUCCCGGAAAGGAGCCCCGGUGGCAGGGGGGGGGUUGGAAAGUUUCGGCGGUUGGGGAUGGACUCGCGGCUUUUCAGCUUGUUGGUGGGGUAGUGGCUUACCAAGGCUUUGACGGGUAGCCGGCCUGAGAGGGUGACCGGCCACAUUGGGACUGAGGUACGGCCCAGACUCCUACGGGAGGCAGCAGUGGGGAAUAUUGCACAAUGGGCGGAAGCCUGAUGCAGCAACGCCGCGUGCGGGAUGACGGCCUUCGGGUUGUAAACCGCUUUCGCCUGUGACGAAGCGUGAGUGACGGUAAUGGGUAAAGAAGCACCGGCUAACUACGUG
Molecule: ribosomal RNA, 468 nt
Filed under: uncultured bacterium
Lineage: Bacteria
Description: partial 16S ribosomal RNA
Rfam family: Bacterial small subunit ribosomal RNA
Source: RNAcentral